CUCUUAGGCAAAUCCGGGAUCACUUACGCCGAGCACCGAGACGAGUCCUAUGAGGACGAAGUGACUGACACCACGCUUCCAGGAAAAGCCACUAAGCUUCAGCUUAAGAAAAACCGUACCGCAAACCGACACAGGUAGGCAGGGUGAGAAUCCCAAGGCGCUUGAGAGAACUCGGGUGAAGGAACUAGGCAAAAUGGCACCGUAACUUCGGGAGAAGGUGCGCCCUUUGGUGUGGUCACGUGCGUGACUGAGCAUCGAAGGGUCGCAGUAACCUGGCCGCUGCGACUGUUUAUCAAAAACACAGCACUCUGCAAACACGAAAGUGGACGUAUAGGGUGUGACGCCUGCCCGGUGCUGGAAGGUUAAUUGAUGGGGUCAGCCGCAAGGCGAAGCUCUUGAUCGAAGCCCCAGUAAACGGCGGCCGUAACAAUAACGGUCCUAAGGUAGCGAAAUUCCUUGUCGGGUAAGUUCCGACCUGCACGAAUGGCGUAACGACAGCGGCGCUGUCUCCACCCGAGACUCAGUGAAAUUGAAAUCGCUGUGAAGAUGCAGCGUUCCCGCGGCAAGACGGAAAGACCCCGUGAACCUUUACUAUAGCUUUACACUGAACGUUGAGUUCUUCUGUGUAGGAUAGGUGGGAGGCUAUGAAACCAGGACGCUAGUUCUGGUGGAGCCAUCCUUGAAAUACCACCCUGAAGUGCUUGACGUUCUAACCUAGGCCCGUAAUCCGGGUCAGGGACCGUGUAUGGUGGGUAGUUUGACUGGGGCGGUCUCCUCCCAAAGAGUAACGGAGGAGCACGAAGGUACGCUCAGCGCGGUCGGACAUCGCGCACUGUGUGCAAAGGCAUAAGCGUGCUUGACUGCGAGAUCGACGGAUCAAGCAGGUACGAAAGUAGGUCUUAGUGAUCCGGUGGUUCUGUAUGGAAGGGCCAUCGCUCAACGGAUAAAAGGUACUCCGGGGAUAACAGGCUGAUACCGCCCAAGAGUUCAUAUCGACGGCGGUGUUUGGCACCUCGAUGUCGGCUCAUCACAUCCUGGGGCUGUAGCCGGUCCCAAGGGUAUGGCUGUUCGCCAUUUAAAGUGGUACGCGAGCUGGGUUCAGAACGUCGUGAGACAGUUCGGUCCCUAUCUGUCGUGGGCGUUGGAGAUUUGAGGGGGGCUGCUCCUAGUACGAGAGGACCGGAGUGGACGUUCCGCUGGUGUUCGGGUUGUCAUGCCCAUGGCAUUGCCCGGUAGCUACGAACGGAAGUGAUAACCGCUGAAAGCAUCUAAGCGGGUAGCACGCCCCAAGAUGAGAUCUCCCGAGAGCUUGACUCUCCUAAAGGCACCAUCAAGACUAGGUGGUUGAUAGGUCAGGUGUGGAAGCGCAGCAAUGCGUUGAGCUAACUGAUACUAAUGAGCCGUGAGGCUUGACCU
Molecule: ribosomal RNA, 1416 nt
Filed under: metagenome
Description: bacterial LSU rRNA
Rfam family: Bacterial large subunit ribosomal RNA
Source: RNAcentral